UACGAAGGGGGCUAGCGUUGUUCGGAAUUACUGGGCGUAAAGCGCACGUAGGCGGAUAUUUAAGUCGGGGGUGAAAUCCCGGGGCUCAACCCCGGAACUGCCUUCGAUACUGGGUAUCUUGAGUUCGGAAGAGGUGAGUGGAAUUGCGAGUGUAGAGGUGAAAUUCGUAGAUAUUCGCAGGAACACCAGUGGCGAAGGCGGCUCACUGGUCCGCUACUGACGCUGAGGUGCGAAAGCGUGGGGAGCAAACAGG
RNAcentral lists this ribosomal RNA (253 nucleotides) under uncultured bacterium. RNAcentral describes it as "partial 16S ribosomal RNA". It matches the Rfam family "Bacterial small subunit ribosomal RNA", at positions 524 to 776 of the family's 1533-position model. The record is from RNAcentral.